AGAGAAAUGAAGGGGCUCACUUCAGUCCAGUCGAGACGGUAGAAGAUGACUGAGACACAGCUGCUGACUCGUUGGUUCAAAAGCUCACCGUUGAACAAUUGUGUGCGCUUCUGAUCCAACGAAGCGGGAGCUGCAUUCCAGUUGUCACUGUCAUGUCUUGGACUGAAGGGGCCUCUUCAUGCAUCCAUC
RNAcentral lists this microRNA precursor (189 nucleotides) under Trifolium pratense (red clover). Its description in RNAcentral is "pre miRNA MIR159". The record is from RNAcentral. Lineage: Eukaryota; Viridiplantae; Streptophyta; Magnoliopsida; Fabales; Fabaceae.